RNAcentral lists this ribosomal RNA (240 nucleotides) under uncultured bacterium. RNAcentral describes it as "partial 16S ribosomal RNA". It matches the Rfam family "Bacterial small subunit ribosomal RNA", at positions 118 to 351 of the family's 1533-position model. The record is from RNAcentral.
UGGGUGAUCUGCCCUCGGUUUCGGGAUAGCCCGGGGAAACCCAGAUUAAUACCGGAUAGCCUCUUGAGCUCUCGGGCUCUCGAGAAAAGGUAGCUUCGGCCUCCGACCGAGGAGGAGCCUGCGGCGGAUUAGCUUGUUGGCGGGGUAAUGGCCCACCAAGGCGACGAUCCGUAGCUGGUCUGAGAGGACGAUCAGCCACACUGGAACUGAGACACGGUCCAGACUCCGUACGGGAGGNAG